This 572-nucleotide ribosomal RNA is filed under the name uncultured organism. RNAcentral describes it as "bacterial SSU rRNA". It matches the Rfam family "Bacterial small subunit ribosomal RNA", at positions 75 to 623 of the family's 1533-position model. The record is from RNAcentral.
GCUCGCUAGAGAAAGUAAAGUGGCGCACGGGUGAGUAACGCGUGGGUAAUCUGCCUCCGAAUCGGGGAGUGACAUUGCGAAAGCGAUGCUAAUACCGGAUAAAAUCUGGUUGGCUUCGGUGAACCGGAUCAAAGGUGGUCUCUUUAUAAAAGCUACCGUUUGGAGAUGAGUUCGCGUACCAUUAGCUAGUUGGUGAGGUAAAGGCUCACCAAGGCGACGAUGGUUAGCUGGUCUGAGAGGAUGAUCAGCCACACCGGAACUGGAACACGGUCCGGACUCCUACGGGAGGCAGCAGUGAGGAAUUUUGCGCAAUGGGGGAAACCCUGACGCAGCAACGCCGCGUGAGUGAUGAAGGCUUUCGGGUCGUAAAGCUCUGUCGGGUGGGAAGAACCCACCAAGUGUUAAGACCACUUGGUGCUGACGGUACCACCGAAGGAAGCACCGGCUAACUCCGUGCCAGCAGCCGCGGUAAUACGGGGGGUGCGAGCGUUAUUCGGAAUCAUUGGGCGUAAAGGGCGCGCAGGCGGUUUUGUACGUCAGAUGUGAAAUCCCGGGGCUUAACCCCGGAAGUG